GGUCAAGUGAAGAAGCGCAUACGGUGGAUGCCUUGGCAGUCAGAGGCGAUGAAAGACGUGGUAGCCUGCGAAAAGCUUCGGGGAGUCGGCAAACAGACUGUGAUCCGGAGAUGUCUGAAUGGGGGAACCCAGCCAUCAUAAGAUGGUUAUCUUGUACUGAAUACAUAGGUGCAAGAGGCGAACCAGGGGAACUGAAACAUCUAAGUACCCUGAGGAAAAGAAAUCAACCGAGAUUCCCUUAGUAGUGGCGAGCGAACGGGGACCAGCCCUUAAGUUGUAUUGAGAUUAGCGGAACGUUCUGGAAAGGACGGCCAUAGUGGGUGAUAGCCCUGUACGCGAAAAUCCCUUUGCAAUGAAAUCGAGUAGGACGGGGCACGAGAAACCUUGUCUGAAUAUGGGGGGACCAUCCUCCAAGGCUAAAUACUACUGACUGACCGAUAGUGAACCAGUACCGUGAGGGAAAGGCGAAAAGAACCGCGGAGAGCGGAGUGAAAUAGAUCCUGAAACCGUAUGCGUACAAGCAGUGGGAGCCCACUUUGUUGGGUGACUGCGUACCUUUUGUAUAAUGGGUCAGCGACUUAUUUUCAGUGGCGAGCUUAACCGAAUAGGGGAGGCGUAGCGAAAGCGAGUCUUAAUAGGGCGUCUAGUCGCUGGGAAUAGACCCGAAACCGGGCGAUCUAUCCAUGGGCAGGUUGAAGGUUGGGUAACACUAACUGGAGGACCGAACCGACUACCGUUGAAAAGUUAGCGGAUGACCUGUGGAUCGGAGUGAAAGGCUAAUCAAGCUCGGAGAUAGCUGGUUCUCCUCGAAAGCUAUUUAGGUAGCGCCUCAUGUAUCACUGUAGGGGGUAGAGCACUGUUUCGGCUAGGGGGUCAUCCCGACUUACCAAACCGAUGCAAACUCCGAAUACCUACAAGUGCCGAGCAUGGGAGACACACGGCGGGUGCUAACGUCCGUCGUGAAAAGGGAAACAACCCAGACCGUCAGCUAAGGUCCCAAAGUCAUGGUUAAGUGGGAAACGAUGUGGGAAGGCUUAGACAGCUAGGAGGUUGGCUUAGAAGCAGCCACCCUUUAAAGAAAGCGUAAUAGCUCACUAGUCGAGUCGGCCUGCGCGGAAGAUGUAACGGGGCUCAAACCAUGCACCGAAGCUACGGGUAUCAUCUUUUGAUGAUGCGGUAGAGGAGCGUUCUGUAAGCCUGUGAAGGUGAGUUGAGAAGCUUGCUGGAGGUAUCAGAAGUGCGAAUGCUGACAUGAGUAACGACAAUGGGUGUGAAAAACACCCACGCCGAAAGACCAAGGUUUCCUGCGCAACGUUAAUCGACGCAGGGUUAGUCGGUCCCUAAGGCGAGGCUGAAAAGCGUAGUCGAUGGAAAACAGGUUAAUAUUCCUGUACUUCUGGUUAUUGCGAUGGAGGGACGGAGAAGGCUAGGCCAGCCUGGCGUUGGUUGUCCAGGUUUAAGGUGGUAGGCUGAGAUCUUAGGUAAAUCCGGGAUCUUAAGGCCGAGAGCUGAUGACGAGUGUUCUUUAGAACACGAAGUGGUUGAUGCCAUGCUUCCAAGAAAAGCUUCUAAGCUUCAGGUAACCAGGAACCGUACCCCAAACCGACACAGGUGGUUGGGUAGAGAAUACCAAGGCGCUUGAGAGAACUCGGGUGAAGGAACUAGGCAAAAUGGCACCGUAACUUCGGGAGAAGGUGCGCCGGUGAGGGUGAAGCAUUUACUGCGUAAGCCCACGCCGGUCGAAGAUACCAGGCCGCUGCGACUGUUUAUUAAAAACACAGCACUCUGCAAACACGAAAGUGGACGUAUAGGGUGUGACGCCUGCCCGGUGCCGGAAGGUUAAUUGAUGGGGUUAGCGCAAGCGAAGCUCUUGAUCGAAGCCCCGGUAAACGGCGGCCGUAACUAUAACGGUCCUAAGGUAGCGAAUUUCCUUGUCGGGUAAGUUCCGACCUGCACGAAUGGCGUAACGAUGGCGGCGCUGUCUCCACCCGAGACUCAGUGAAAUUGAAAUCGCUGUGAAGAUGCAGUGUAUCCGCGGCUAGACGGAAAGACCCCGUGAACCUUUACUAUAGCUUUGCACUGGACUUUGAAUUUGCUUGUGUAGGAUAGGUGGGAGGCUUUGAAGCGUGGACGCCAGUCUGCGUGGAGCCAACCUUGAAAUACCACCCUGGCAACUUUGAGGUUCUAACUCAGGUCCGUUAUCCGGAUCGAGGACAGUGUAUGGUGGGUAGUUUGACUGGGGCGGUCUCCUCCUAAAGAGUAACGGAGGAGUACGAAGGUGCGCUCAGACCGGUCGGAAAUCGGUCGUAGAGUAUAAAGGCAAAAGCGCGCUUGACUGCGAGACAGACACGUCGAGCAGGUACGAAAGUAGGUCUUAGUGAUCCGGUGGUUCUGUAUGGAAGGGCCAUCGCUCAACGGAUAAAAGGUACUCCGGGGAUAACAGGCUGAUACCGCCCAAGAGUUCAUAUCGACGGCGGUGUUUGGCACCUCGAUGUCGGCUCAUCACAUCCUGGGGCUGAAGCCGGUCCCAAGGGUAUGGCUGUUCGCCAUUUAAAGUGGUACGCGAGCUGGGUUUAGAACGUCGUGAGACAGUUCGGUCCCUAUCUGCCGUGGACGUUUGAGAUUUGAGAGGGGCUGCUCCUAGUACGAGAGGACCGGAGUGGACGAACCUCUGGUGUUCCGGUUGUCACGCCAGUGGCAUUGCCGGGUAGCUAUGUUCGGAAAAGAUAACCGCUGAAAGCAUCUAAGCGGGAAACUUGCCUCAAGAUGAGAUCUCACUGGAACCUUGAGUUCCCUAAAGGGCCGUCGAAGACUACGACGUUGAUAGGUUGGGUGUGUAAGCGCUGUGAGGCGUUGAGCUAACCAAUACUAAUUGCCCGUGAGGCUUGACCAU
RNAcentral lists this ribosomal RNA (2893 nucleotides) under Pseudomonas syringae group sp. J254-4. RNAcentral describes it as "23S ribosomal RNA". It matches the Rfam family "Bacterial large subunit ribosomal RNA". The record is from RNAcentral. Lineage: Bacteria; Pseudomonadati; Pseudomonadota; Gammaproteobacteria; Pseudomonadales; Pseudomonadaceae.